This 4307-nucleotide long non-coding RNA is filed under the name Brassica napus (rape). RNAcentral's name for it is "long non-coding RNA (BNAP_LNC002577)". The record is from RNAcentral. Lineage: Eukaryota; Viridiplantae; Streptophyta; Magnoliopsida; Brassicales; Brassicaceae.
GGAUUCACCAAGAUGCUAUUUUUUCAACUCCCUAUCGUUCUUAGUUUGAACAGUUUAAGGCUACAAUGAAUGUGGAAGAUGGAAGCUUGAAGAGGCGUUCACGUGAUAGUUUAGUGUACCUCACGACAUGUAUGAUUGGGCAUCUCGUGGAAGCAUAUCUAAAAAAUGGAUCGGUUUAUAGUGGUAUAUUUCAUGCUGCUCAUGUGGAGAAGGAUUUUGGUGAGGCUCUGAGUCAGAAUUUAUUUAUUUUCUUAGAUAUGUGAAGCAUAGGAAAACACUACUAUUCUUUUCUAAAUUUCUUGAAACUUCCAGGAAUUGUUCUAAAGAUGGCAUCCCUGGUUAAAGACGGUACUUUACGAGGGCAUAAAUCUCGUUCCGAGUUCGUCAGAAAGCCACCUUAUAAGACAUUCAUUAUUACUGGGGAUGAGCUUGUGCAAGUUGUAGCUAAGGUGUGCUUCCUUUUAUUAAUCAUAUGCGAACUUUUUUUCUGUUUAAGUUUAUCUUAAUGCGUUAUAUGGCAGGGAAGGGACAUUACGCUGAGAUUUGAUAUUUUCAUUCCUUUUAUGAUUGAUGUUGGUGUUAGGAUCUCUCCGUAUUCAGUGACGGCAAGUUAAAAGCCGUUCAGAGUGAGAAGUCGGUGGAGCUUUUGACGGAUUCUUCUAUAUCAAAGUCCUGUCGUGUUGAUCAGGGAAGAGAGCUAAAACACUGGGUACCUGAUGGUCAAGCUCCUGAGGGUCUGGAUAAUGUGUUUGAUAAGCCUUGGAAACGGUAUAUACAUACAUAUUUUGAUUUCAUGCAAAUUUAUCUAUUGGAUGCUUCAUAUGCAAAUUUGUUAGCUAGAUUCUUAAGACCACGGUUUCUUAUCUGAACAAUUUAGACGAGAGAAUGUGGGAAUGAAACGAAUGGAUUAUUUUUGUGCUUCCACAUUAGGAUUGGAGAUCUUCCUUUUGGAAAGCUAUUAUUUUUCUAUCUCUCUGUUGAGCAAGAUUUUUUGUUUAUUGAAAGCAUAUAAUAUAUUGAGAGGAAGAGCCCUUGGUGAAUGUCCAUAAGAUUAGGAAGAUUGCAGUUUCCAUAUCUCUCACAACAUGGCUAUUUGCUGGCAGUGGGGGAUGGGAUCAGUUUAAGGUGAAUCAGGAACGGUUUGGAGUAAUGAGCACCUUCAAUGAGGAAAUGUAUACCACACCACUUGACAGAGGUCUUUGGACUAGAGAGCUGGAAGAGAAAGCCAGAGAGAUUGCGAGAGAGAUUGAGGGUGAAAAUACCGGAGAUCUUCAUGUAGCAGAGGUUAUUUUGGGGAGUUUAUUUGCACAACUUGAUCUCUACAUUUUUGUUGUUAUAUAACUCUAGAUCUCUAAUUUUCAUGCCUGCAGGAAAGAGGCCUUCAAGUUAAUGAGAAAUUUGAUACUGACGAGGAAGCUAAAUACUCAGCUGUCCGUCGAGUUGAUGGAUUUGAUGAUAGUGGGUUUGAUGAGGAAGACGACAAAUUGCUGGACACUUGCAACGAUCAGACUUUCGGUGGUUCAUCUACUUCUAUUGUCCAGAAGCCAGCUUCUUCUGGUGGCCAGAAGCCAACUUCUUCUAGUGGCAAGGGUUAUGGGGUAUGGUUGACUUCUUUUUUGAAAGUAGUGUCGAGCAGAACAGUUGUUGAUAUUUACCAUUCAUUUUCAAUCAGGGUGAGAGCUGCUCGAUAUCUGAUGAUCACGCUGGUCACCUUCCCUCUGAACAGCGAUCCAAGUAUUUUCCUGCCCGAGGCAGCAGUAUAAGGUCAUAUUUUUGCCAUUAGGCUACGGAAUUUUUAAUCAUCUAAAAGACUUCUCUUACAUUGAGAGUUUCUCUUGACAUAACAGUGAGAGCCAGUUGGGUGAGCGAAGAAACAACAAUAAUCCAGAGGUUGCCCGCAGUAACAGAGUAAAUUCAACUCCAUGUUUAUUAUGCAUGUUUGAUCAAUGAUUACGUUCGGCGUUCUUCUAUUAUUUUUUAACAUUGUUUCUUUGGCUUUGUUUUGUAUUUACAGUCACCUGAGGUAUCAGUUUCUGGUCAUGGAGGUACAUGCUACUUCUUUCUUACUCUUUGUUCCUCUUUUCAAUUUUAAAAGCAUGGCUCACAGUUUUUCUCUUGGCCUGAAACUAAUAUUUAUUUUCACGUUGAUCUCAACUGACUAUCUACUGGUGCUCUGUAAUGUUCCACUGAUCGUUACCUCUUUUAAAGUCGCCAAAUGAAAAAGUUGCUUUUGUACACAGGCAGUGGUGACCUGUUAAGAAAAUAUUGUGUGUUUGGAAUAUAGAUAUCGAAGAAGGUGCAAAUCUUGGUGGCGGUGGAACCUCCUCGGCUUCGAUGACUGUUGCUGAGAAAGAAAGGCAAGUCAAUCAAGUUUCUGGUGAAAGAAAAUCUGAAAGCUCUUUUGGUCAGUCGGCUUCUAGAAGAGGUUCAGAGAGCGGCCCAGCUCCGUCGGCCUCAACUCGUCCUGGACUAUCAUCACCAAGCUCGUCAAUUAGUUCGUUGCCCUCAUCCGAAAAGUCCAUUCUUAACCCGAAUGCAAAGGUUUACUUUUUCUACUUGAUUUGUUUCAAACUCUUUGUUGUGUUUACUAAUCAAAAGUCAUUGGGUCUGAUCAGGAAUUCAAACCAUCGCAAUCACCAGCUCCUGUACGGCCUCAAUCUCCAAUUGCAGGUGGCUCAUUCUACUACGCUGCUCCAACUCCACCGGUGCAGCAGAUGCCUGUAAUGCCUGCUGGUUACGGAGUAAGUUCACUUUGUUGUUUUAUAGAGCCUAACUUUUACUAAAAAGAAACGAAGCAGAAGUCUCUAAAACUCUGGCCAUGUGAAAAGCAUAUGCAGAUUCAACCGCAAUAUCCUGGACAGCAGCAGCUGCUUCGUUAUCCUGGCCACGAGUAUCCUCAAACUUAUUAUCCUCCAAAUGCACCGCCCCAGGUAUGAAGACACUAAGAUCACGAAGAACCCUACCUACACUCUUCACAAAACCAAAAUAAGGUGAUUGCGUUUGGCGUUGUUCUAUUAUUUUUAACAUUGUUUCUUUGGCUUCCUUUUGUAUUUACACAGACACCUGAGAAAUCAGUUUCUGGUUCUGGUCAUGGAGGUAUAUUCCACUUUUUUCUUACUCUUUUUCUAUAUCUGCACGCCACUAUAUUUGUUUAUCCGAUUUGAAUGCCCACAGAAGUCUGAACUUGUUUUCCUGUGCUACACGUAGAAGGCUGCUCACAUUUUUUCACUCUACCUGACACUAAUAUUUAUUGUCACGUUGAUCUCAACUGACUAUCUACUGGCCGUCAGUAAUGUUCCACUCUGAUGAUGACCUCUUUUAAAGUCGCCAAAUGGAAUCUAGAAAAGUUGCUUUUGUACACAAGCAGUGGUGAACCUGUUAAGAAAAUGUUGUGUGUUUGGAAUAUAGACAUCAAAGAAGGUGGCGGUGGAACCUCGGCGUCGAAGACUGUUGCUGAGAAUGAAAGGCAAGUCAGUCAAAUUUCUGGUGAAACAAAAUCUGAAAGCGCUUUUGGGCAGUCGGAUUCUAGAAGAAUUUCAGAGAGCGGCCCAGCUACACCGACGUCAACUCGUCCUGGACUAUCACCAAGCUCGCCAAUUAGUUCGUUGCCCUCACCAGAAAAGUCGACUCUUAACCCGAAUGCAAAGGUUUACUUUAUCUACUUAAUUUGUUCAAACUUUGAUAAAGUGUUGGUUGAAUUGAUGCUGAUGAUUGUAUCAAUGCCUUACUUUCUUUGCGUCUAAGCAUCUUGAUAGUUAUUUGGUAUCAUGUUUGUGCCGACACGCUAUGGUUUUUUGUUUCCCUUACUGCUGUUCACAUUUUCGUGCAGAAUAAUCAACACAACAUCUGUUUUUCUCAAAGGUUCCACUGUUUUCUGAUGCAGUCCGGCUCUUGUUUAUGUUUAUUUUGUUCUGUGAUGGCGAGGCUAUUCUUUUGAUUGUAUUUUCCCGUAAGAUAGUAAUCAUGGGUUUCAAUGGUAUAGAUGGAAGAGUAGCAUAAUGGUAACAAGGUUAUAUUGGGGAAGAUGCUGAACACGAUACUACUCUUCAUUCAUACCACUAUAACUUUCGCUGAGCAGUUUUGUCUGUGGAUUCACCAAGAUGCUAUUUUUUCAACUCCCUAUCGUUCUUAGUUUGAACAGUUUAAGGCUACAAUGAAUGUGGAAGAUGGAAGCUUGAAGAGGCGUUCACGUGAUAGUUUAGUGUACCUCACGACAUGUAUGAUUGGGCAUCUCGUGGAAGCAUAUCUAAAAAAUGGAUCGGUUUAUAGUGGUAUAUUUCAUGCUGCUCAUGUGGAGAAGGAUUUUG